GGCUCGCCGGGCUCAAUUCAGUGGGGAGCAUGUUUAAAAAGACAAGGGGGAAACCAGCCAUACGUCGGGCGACCGCGAUCUUCAACGGGGUGGGGAGCGGGAGGCGGAGAGGGGCGCAUGAUGGGAGUUCGGGAGUCUGCGGGGUGCCAGUCAGCGUGGUGGAGGCUGGCGAGGGCACGGCCUGCAUGGGCGUCACCCGCAGAACUUUGGCGGGGGGAUUGCGUGAGCACGGGAUGGACAUUGAGAGGGCCAGCGUUGGCACGGCACUGGCCGCGGAGGCAUGCACGAAGGAUGUGCGUGUC
RNAcentral lists this long non-coding RNA (302 nucleotides) under Androctonus crassicauda. Lineage: Eukaryota; Metazoa; Arthropoda; Arachnida; Scorpiones; Buthidae. The record is from RNAcentral.